Aegilops tauschii subsp. strangulata is the source of this 1585-nucleotide non-coding RNA. The record is from RefSeq and is a predicted model, not a curated record. Lineage: Eukaryota; Viridiplantae; Streptophyta; Magnoliopsida; Poales; Poaceae.
CAAAACAUGCAUCUGUUCGUAGUUGCCGCGUUUCCCUUGCCUUCGUUGACCGUUUCGAGAGCAAUUGGGUUUUUUUCGAGUCCCUCUUGUCUGACCGCCUAACCUCUCUGCACAGUGCUCAUACCCCCCUCGCGCAUGUCUGAAACUUGCCCGAACCUGACCCGCUCAGUCAUCACCGUUGGAUUCGGAUCAUCCCCACACAUCCCUAAAAUAUCUUCGGAUCUUUAAUUGGGCUCCCUAACCUAUUGAUCCGAGACCUUCCGAUUUUGAUCGGAGGGUCCAAACCUAAUCCUAUUGUCCCUAUGUAUAGACCAACCCCUACCCAAAUCAAACCAAACCCUAUUUUCUAGCGACCCUCCUCCCCGCCGCCACUCUCUUUGGUUCCCCUUGGGAUCACCAGCGAACAAACCAGCGCCUCCCCUGUCCCUCCUCGAUUCCCCACCAAACCACCCAAUCCAUCAAUUGAACCAACCAACAGCAACGCUGGAUCCCCCUCAUCCCCAAUCACACUCGAUCCCCCUCCUGCCCUACCUAGCGCACACUAUCCAAGGAGAGGAAAUCCUCCUCGCGCCCCCGAAGAGGAGUUUCUUCUGGAGCUCCUCCUGUACGCUCCCUCUACUCGGCCCCGUCGUCGUUUCGCCGCCACCGACAAGCUCCGGUGAGCAGCGGGCCAACCGCGCCUCCUUCCCUGCCCUCUCCCUCUCUCUGCACCUGAUGCUCGUAACCCCGUCGCAUCUCUGUCCAGGAGCACCGACGUCCACAGCCGCAGUCCCAUGCGCCUCCAUCUGCCGCGGCCAGCCGAGCCUCCCCCGCCGCCUCGCCACUCCGGUGACCACCUCCAGCAGGAGCCUCGAGGGCGCUUGUUGUUUCGAGCUCCAAGCCCCGGACGUCAAGUCCCCGUCCGUCGCUGUCACGAAGGUCGUCCGAGGAGCACCAAGCCACCGUCCCAAGGCCAAGCUGUCGGCUUGUCUCCGCUGCGCCUCGACCACCUGAUCCGGCCGCCCAUCCUCGGAUCCGUUCGUUUUUGCCGUUCCAAACCACCGCCGGGGCUCCUCCUUAUCGCCGCACCCGGAGGACGCCAAGCUGCCGGCACACCUCCCCAACACCCCUGCUUCGCCUGGAUCCGGAUGGGUCCGUGCCUCCCCUGCCGCUGCUUGCUCUGUCGAAGACGACAAGCACCCGCCCGAGCCAGCGGCAUCGUUGGCAGCUUCAGUACACGACGCCCACGUGCCCAUGCCUGGCCGCAUCCCGCUCGCCCGCGUCACUAACCCGCCGCCCUACUUUUUUUUAGGGUGAAAAACAAUUUAUUCAUCACCAAAAUCCACAUGAAGUGGGAUACAAGAAGGGUCAUGGGGAUUCCCAAGCCACACAUGGCGUCCCGGACCCUGAGAAAGAGCAAAUUUAGCUAGUCUAUGUGCCUCAUAGUUUGCGGCACGACCCUCAAACUCAAACUUAAUAGUAGCUGUGAGAUUUAUUUCGCUAAUGAUAGCGCCAUACCGGCCUCUGACCCCCUAGAAAUGUCUGAGACAACUUGUUUGCAAUUCGAGGCUAUGAUGAACUGAUGCAAAUUGAGAUCUUCUGCCAA